Molecule: long non-coding RNA, 274 nt
Filed under: Homo sapiens (human)
Lineage: Eukaryota; Metazoa; Chordata; Mammalia; Primates; Hominidae
Description: non-protein coding lnc-PPP1R13L-4:1
Source: RNAcentral
CCUCUGUUCUCUGCAGGAGGAUCAGCUGGGCCUGUCCCUGCUCAGCCUGGAGCAGCUAGAAUCAGAGGAGACGCUGAAGAGGAUAGAGCAGAUUGCUCAGCAGCUCUGAGUGGGGCGGGUGGGGCCAUAAACGGUUCCUGGUGACUCCUGAGUCUUGCCUGGCCCUGGUUCCCAGCGGCGGUGGUGCUAGAAGGUCUUAUGAAGUCAGGUGACAUUUCUCACUGUCACGUCCACAGCCUUUAAUCGCAGGAGAAGGCAGCUAUCCACCAGGUAC